RNAcentral lists this long non-coding RNA (538 nucleotides) under Oryzias javanicus (javanese ricefish). RNAcentral describes it as "lncRNA (ENSOJAG00000007340.1)". Lineage: Eukaryota; Metazoa; Chordata; Actinopteri; Beloniformes; Adrianichthyidae. The record is from RNAcentral.
CAUAUUUCAAUAUUAAAGUGAUAUCAUAAUUCUGUGCAGGGUACCAUGACCAAAGUGCUGAAGGGAGUCAAAGGAGAGCAGGUGAGAGCAUUUACAGGCUAAAUUAGCCUAAUUUUGUCCAAUAUUUGCUUAAAAAAUGCCAAAUAAAUUAGAAUAUUCUUUUGAAAAACAAACUAUAGCUGGCUUUUGUAAGGACUUGAGUCUUUUUAAAUGUAUUUUUAGCUUAAAAUAGUUAUAAAACCUAACAAAACGAAACUAUGUUUGUACGUGUUUUGGCUGCAGGGAGACGUUGGACGACCCGGCCCGCCAGGAAACGACACUCGGCAACAAAUAAAGCCCCCCUCUGGACAACCUGGACUGAAAGGCCAAAAAGGAGAAAAAGGAGAUGUGGACAUCACAAGAGGAGAAACCGGCAUACCGGGAUUACCGGGACCCAGGGUCGGCACAGCAGCUUUCCCAAACUCCUCUGCAUGCUCAAAAAUGUAUUUUUGUUUAUAAUUUGUUAUUCUUUUACAGGGGGAAAGCGGUAGAAAUGGGU